GGGAAUGUAGCUUAGUGGUAAAGUGCUUGCCUAGCAUGUAUGAAGCCCGGGGUUCAAUUCCUCAGUACCA
This 70-nucleotide transfer RNA is filed under the name Dipodomys ordii (Ord's kangaroo rat). It matches the Rfam family "tRNA". Rfam says of the family: Transfer RNA (tRNA) molecules are approximately 80 nucleotides in length. Their secondary structure includes four short double-helical elements and three loops (D, anti-codon, and T loops). The record is from Rfam by way of RNAcentral. Lineage: Eukaryota; Metazoa; Chordata; Mammalia; Rodentia; Heteromyidae.